CCUUGAACAAUAAUGUCUGCUACCAUUAAAGUAGAGCUGCCUUCCCAAUUUUUAUAACAUUUGUGAUGAGGCAGGCACUUCAACCUCUUUCCUUUGGGAAACUUUGCAGGAAAAAAAUGGCAAAACCAAGAUGUAAAAAAAGAAAGCAAUCAAAUGUUGCAAAAGAGAAGACAGAAAUUAAAUGAAAACCCUAUAUUGUUUGAAGAAAGUAAGAAAAAAAAAGAGCAAGAAACUUUAAAAUCUGUAUCAGAAAAAGAUUUAACAGAAAAAUCGUGAUUAAAUGUACUUAAAUUUUUAGAAAUUGAUAGAGUGCCCAGGGAAAAAAGAAACAAUAGCAAGAAGAAAGGAGAAAAAACAAAAACGUCAUUUGGAUGACAGUAUGUUUAACUUGCAUAAAAUGUUCAUAAAAGAGAACCCUCAACACUCAACUUUCAUGUGGAGUCUGAAUUUUUAUUUCAAUAGUCUUUACAUUUUAAUUUAUUAAUAUUCAGUAAGAGUUACUUAAAAAAUUGUACACUUAGGUAAAAAAUGAAUGUUUCCUUUCAUAGCAGCAUGCUUAAUCGGAAGUAGCUCUAUCUCUAAUAAUGAAAUAUUUUAUUAUUUACUUAUUAAUGUUAAACUCAUAUCAGUAGUACCCAAUAAUUAAUGAAUUAAUCUUCAUUGACAUUUUAUAUUUUAUAACAUAAAAUGUCUCCUCCGUUGACUAUUACCUCUCCUCCGUGGACAGAAUUUAAAAUAUUUUAAAUCUUGUAAAAAAUAAAAUAGAAAACUUGACCAUUAUUAUAAGGACAUAUAACAAAAAUGAAUAAAGGCAUUUAUGUGAUUUUUAUCACUUUUUCAAUUACUUUAAUUUUAGAAAAUUUUUUAGUCUAUUUAUACCUUUUCAGUGAGAAUGACCCUGGUGAUGAAAUUUCGUGGUGAUUAUAAUAAUCACAUUUCUCAUUCUUUCUAUUUCAUCUGGCAAACUGAUUUCAAUAUUUUCAGUGUUGCAUUCCUAAGCAGCGAUUCAUUAUACUUUGAUACCAUUUGUAUUUUUCUCUCGUGAAUAUUAAUUAUGUCCACUAAUGUUCUUUUACUUCCUUUUUUUUAAAGAAUUUUACAAUACAUGCGUAUACUUUCAUAUUCUUCUUCAUUUCCUGAUUUAAAUAAAAAUUUGUUCAUGUUUG
This is a non-coding RNA of Parasteatoda tepidariorum (common house spider), 1166 nucleotides long. NCBI's taxonomy places the organism in Eukaryota, Metazoa, Arthropoda, Arachnida, Araneae, Theridiidae. The record is from RefSeq and is a predicted model, not a curated record.